AACGAACGCUGGCGGCAUGCCUAACACAUGCAAGUCGAACGAGACCUUCGGGUCUAGUGGCGCACGGGUGCGUAACGCGUGGGAACCUGCCCUUAGGUUCGGAAUAACUCCCCGAAAGGGGUGCUAAUACCGGAUAAUGUCUUCGGACCAAAGAUUUAUCGCCUUUGGAUGGGCCCGCGUUGGAUUAGCCAGUUGGUAGGGUAAAAGCCUACCAAGGCGACGAUCCAUAGCUGGUCUGAGAGGAUGAUCAGCCACACUGGGACUGAGACACGGCCCAGACUCCUACGGGAGGCAGCAGUGGGGAAUAUUGGAAAAUGGGCGAAAGCCUGAACCAGCAAUGCCGCGUGAGUGAUGAAGGCCUUAGGGUUGUAAAGCUCUUUUACCCGGGAUGAUAAUGACAGUACCGGGAGAAUAAGCUCCGGCUAACUCCGUG
RNAcentral lists this ribosomal RNA (433 nucleotides) under uncultured bacterium. RNAcentral's name for it is "partial 16S ribosomal RNA". It matches the Rfam family "Bacterial small subunit ribosomal RNA", at positions 29 to 507 of the family's 1533-position model. The record is from RNAcentral.